This 497-nucleotide ribosomal RNA is filed under the name uncultured bacterium. RNAcentral describes it as "partial 16S ribosomal RNA". It matches the Rfam family "Bacterial small subunit ribosomal RNA", at positions 28 to 507 of the family's 1533-position model. The record is from RNAcentral.
GAUGAACGCUGGCGGCGUGCCUAAUACAUGCAAGUCGAACGCUGAAGCGAGGAGCUUGCUCUUCUUGGGUUAGUGGCGGACGGGUGAGUAACGCGUAGGUAACCUGCCUGUUAGUGGGGGAUAACUACGGGAAACGAUAGCUAAUACCGCAUAAUAUUGAUUACGGCAUGAUUCAUAAUUGAAAGAGGCAAUUGCCGCACUACUAGAUGGACCUGCGGUGUAUUAGCUAGUUGGGGAGGUAACCGCCCAACCAAGGGACGGUACAUAGGCGGCCUGGAGGGGAUGAUCGGCCACACGGGACCGGAGACCCGGCCCAGACUCCUACGGGAGGCAGCAGAGGGGAAUAUUGGACAAUGGGGGAAAGCCUGACGAAGCAAGCCCGCGUGGGUGAGGAAGUUCUUCGGUUGGUAAACUCCUUUUGUUGGGAAAGAAGAGUGGGAGAGUGAAAAGUUCACGUUGUGACGGUACCUAAACAGAAAGCGACGGCUAACUACGUG